UGCCGCCUGGUCCCAGGGCGGUCUCCAGGCUGCGGGUCUGGAUGGUUUCCUGGGUGGUGGUUCCGUCUUCGCCAGUUGGCGAC
RNAcentral lists this transfer RNA (83 nucleotides) under Planctomycetota bacterium. RNAcentral describes it as "tRNA-Arg". Lineage: Bacteria; Pseudomonadati; Planctomycetota. The record is from RNAcentral.